This 253-nucleotide ribosomal RNA is filed under the name uncultured bacterium. RNAcentral's name for it is "partial 16S ribosomal RNA". It matches the Rfam family "Bacterial small subunit ribosomal RNA", at positions 524 to 776 of the family's 1533-position model. The record is from RNAcentral.
UACGUAGGGGGCAAGCGUUAUCCGGAUUUAUUGGGCGUAAAGGGAACGCAGGCGGUCUUUUAAGUCUGAUGUGAAAGCCUUCGGCUUAACCGGAGUAGUGCAUUGGAAACUGGGAGACUUGAGUGCAGAAGAGGAGAGUGGAACUCCAUGUGUAGCGGUGAAAUGCGUAGAUAUAUGGAAGAACACCAGUGGCGAAAGCGGCUCUCUGGUCUGCAACUGACGCUGAGGCUCGAAAGCAUGGGUAGCGAACAGG